The submitters of this non-coding RNA (68 nucleotides) gave its source as unclassified sequences. The record is from Rfam.
GGCUUCAACAUCCCCGCCGGUUGGGCGCGGCGUAUUUUCAAACGACGCGCAGUGAAUCGACUGGAGCC